GCCCUAGUAGCUCACCGGUAGAGCGCGUCACUAGUAAUGACGAGGCAGCUAGUUCGACUCUGGUCUGGGGCA
RNAcentral lists this transfer RNA (72 nucleotides) under Ophiocordyceps sinensis CO18. Its description in RNAcentral is "tRNA-Thr (AGT) (tRNA-Thr-AGT-1-1)". It matches the Rfam family "tRNA". Rfam says of the family: Transfer RNA (tRNA) molecules are approximately 80 nucleotides in length. Their secondary structure includes four short double-helical elements and three loops (D, anti-codon, and T loops). Lineage: Eukaryota; Fungi; Ascomycota; Sordariomycetes; Hypocreales; Ophiocordycipitaceae. The record is from RNAcentral.